Molecule: long non-coding RNA, 592 nt
Organism: Castor canadensis (American beaver)
Lineage: Eukaryota; Metazoa; Chordata; Mammalia; Rodentia; Castoridae
Source: RefSeq, a predicted model, not a curated record
GUUCCUGCUGGUUUUUCUGCUGAAGAACACAAGUCAAGGCCCUGAAUGUGCAACUCGGUGCUCUGGAAUCAUGGAGCAGUGGUCUGAGCAGUCAGCACAGAAGUACCAUCAUCCACUCAUCUUAUCCGCCAGGGCCAAAGACAAAGAAUACAGCAGAAAUUCUUCCCCAGAAUUUUGAAGACAAAGCCCAUGAUAAGGGGCUGGAGCCUGAAGAAGAGAGUUCUGGAGAUUGAAGCUGUGACCUCAUGCAUGCACACAAGUGAUCUUCCACGGAGCUACAUCCCCAACCCAAUGGCCUACAUUUCUGUGAGAGGCAUUCCUGAGCCUCUGGGGUAGCCAGAUCUGAGAGACAAACAAUGGGGACCAACACUGGACAUUGUGAAGCCAAAUGACUCAUCUCUAGGAUUGAGUCCCCCUUUGCUGGCAUGCUUGCGCCCUGCAGUGUCAAACCUUUUGCAGGCUCCUGUGCACAUGUGUAAGUGUGCAGGGGAUGGAUGUUGAAGUGACAGAGAACAUCUGAACAGCAACCUAGAUUGAAUAUUCCACUCACCAAGUAGAUGAGGUCCAGCUCAAAUUGAUCUUACUUAAAGAA